Molecule: ribosomal RNA, 115 nt
Filed under: Danio rerio (zebrafish)
Lineage: Eukaryota; Metazoa; Chordata; Actinopteri; Cypriniformes; Danionidae
Source: RNAcentral
GCCGGCAGCUAGCUCUCUUCAACUCUCACAUGUUCGCCCACUGAAGCUAAGCAGGGCUGCACCUGGGUAGUACCUGGAUGGGAGACCACAUGAGAAAGCUAGUUUGCUGCCGGAA